UCUCGAAUCGAUUAAUACCUCCAUUUUUUCGAUAGAUGGAACUUACAAGAUUCUCAGGGAUAUACUUAAAAAAAAAUCAAGAAUGAAAAAUUGCACUAGUAUAUCAAUUUUAAUAAGAAAAUUUCUAUGUGUUGAUUAAAUUAGUGAAUAAUUUUGUAAUUCCAGUAUUUUGUGUUGGAUGAUGCAUCAUUUCCUAACCUAUCUUUCUUUAAGCUGUUAGAAUUUCUUAGUUUGACGUUUAGAGUGAUCAGUGAUAACAAUGGCAAGAUUUCUUACGUGGAAAUGUCUUCUUUUAUUAGUUAUAAUACAAAUUGUCAAUGCCAAAAGAAUCAAGGAUAUGAUUUAUAUGUCAAUUGAUGGUGCUGCUGGUUGUUUUAGAAGACACAAUGGAACACAUCAAUUUGGUUGUUCAUCAAGUAGAUCUGGUAGUGUAGGAGUAAUACAUUUAAUAGAACAAGAAGAUGAUGUCAGAUGGUUGGAAACUAAAGCAACUGCAGGCCCAUAUACUGCAGUCCUACCAUUUUCAAUGUUUACCAGAGAUGUUCUUUUACGUUUGAAAAAUACUAACAAUAUCAAUGGCGUUCUAUUGGCAAGAAAUACUAGUCAAGAAUAUCCAGAUUUUUAUUCACCAGAAGAUACCUGUCCAAACAGAUACUCAAAUUAUAAAAAGUGUAACGAUCAACGUCCAUGGAAUCCUCAUGGAUCAUCAAUUUUAUUAGAAGACUGGCCAUUUCCCAUGUUUUAUAUGGAGAAUCAAACACUUUUGGAAGCCAUAAAGUCUUGUUUUUGGAAUCACAAUGCUCACGAUCUUGAAAAUCAAAGUGAACGUUCAUUGUGCGCAUUGGAAAUGAAAUCAUUCAUGUUUUCUGCUAUUAAUUCUGAUUCUUGUAUAAAACGUAGCGACUUUUAUUUAAAUAUCAAUCCAACAUCAUUCUGUGAUCCACUUGGAGAUAGAAAUAUACAUUGGCCAUUAGCACCAUUAAAUUCUGAUUCUAAUUCUGUAAUAAUGGUUACCUCCAGAAUAGAUGCAUCUUCUAUGUUUGAUGGAAUAUCUCCUGGAGCUUUAAGUACAAUAACAGGAAUGGUUUCAUUACUAGCUACUGCUGCUUACUUGCAUUCUUUAAAACCAGUUAUCAAAAAUACAAAUGUUGUUUUUACUCUUCUUAAUGGAGAAGCUUUUGACUAUAUAGGUUCCAGUCGUUUGGUUUAUGAUUUAAAAGAAGGUCAUUUUAAUGCUCUCGGUGGAAUCAAUUUAAAACUCAAUGAAAUUUUAACUGUAAUCGAACUUAGUCAAUUAUCCAAAGGAGAUGCAUUUUUGCAUGUUAGCAAUAAUAAAACUAAUCCAAUGAUAAAUCAAUUAAGUGAAAAGUUACCAGCUAAAGUAUUGAGUAAUAGUGUUCCACCUACAUCUGUGCAAAGCUUUCUAGAAAUAGAACCAAGUCUUACCACCAUCGUUCUAACUAAUUAUCCAGAUCAAUUUAUCAAUAAUUAUUAUAACAGCAUUUUAGACAAUGCUAAGAGUCUUCAUUUCAACAGUAAUAUUUCAAGUGAUCUUGUACCAAGUUUAACAAAUAUAAGCAUCACUUUGGCAGAGACUUUGUAUCACAGUGUUACAAACGAAACAGCUCCAAGUGGAGAUGUAAAUCGUAUCGAACAUAUUAUCUCGGAAAUGUUGUCUUGUUAUUUAGAAAGUGCAAAAUGUAAUCUAUUUCAUGCAGCAUCGUCACCAGGAACCAAAUUGGCCGAUCAAAUUUUACCUUUGUACGUUAGUGUACAUAGAGUACCUAACACCGUUACAAUUUUAACUGGUCAACUUUUUGCUCUGUUAACUGGCGACAAAUUAGAUAUGAAUGAAACAGAGUGUUACGAGCAUCAUUACGCAUGGAUGGGUGGUUAUGAUUUAACAGGAAUUUGUAUAAAUUCAACAGUAAAUUAUAGUAUAGCUUUAAGUCCAGCAUUCAUCAUCCAUAAUUACGAUAUGAAAUCUGGGAUAUUUUCAACAUGGACAGAAUCUAUCUGGCAAAUGUUAAGUGUCAGAAUGUUUUUAAAACCUUCAGCAGCAACUGAACGACUUAGCAUGAUUCUUGGCAGUAUUGUGACUAGCACAUCAUUUAUCUUAGUAUGGUUUAUUAAUUCCAAGGCUGAUAUAUUAUUUAAUUCCAGGUGAUAAAACAAUGAGAGCUGUUGAUUGCUAGGGAUACGCUGCGGACCACAUAUCAAUGACCAGUAUACAAGUAUGAAGUAGGAGGCUGGGCACCGCCCACCGAGUUUAUCACAGUCGUCUGGUGCCGCAGCACAUACGUAUACGUGGUUCAGCCUUACAACCUACCCUCUUAAUAUCUAAACAUUAUAAUCUGAAUUGUAAUUAAUUAAUUUUUUUUUUUUUUAAAACAGUAUAGUUCCGUACAAGGUAGUUGUAUAUGUUACAUAAUUAAAGCAAUCAUUUUUUUACCUUUUUUUUUUUUUUAGUCUCUUUUUUUUCAUGCUAUCUCAUCAACUCUCAGUAGCAUACGUGUAUUAUAUUAUUGCUGUCAUUUAGAAAUACAUACAGCGGUUUAACUAGAUACCUCUAUGUAUCUGUUUUUUUUUUUUUUUUUUUUUUUCCCCCAAAGAAAAUACAAAAUGCAAAGAAUUUGGUUUACAUUUGACAAAAGUUUAGUAGAAAUAAUAGUACAAAUAUGUUUAUAAUCGAAACAAAUUGAACUCUUUCGUACGAAGUGUCGGCUGUCGGAUGUAUCCGGCGCUCGUACGUACAAAAUUAUCACGCUAGAUGUCGGAUAUAUACGACACUCGAAAUGAAAAGGUUAAAACGUACAUCAAUUUAUCAAUUAAUAGUUUACUACAUGCUCUACCUCCUCAUCAUUCUCAGCAGCAUGCUUGGUAUUAAUUAUUACUGUCAUUUAAAAACAUGGCCUAACUAGAUAUCUCUAUGUAUUUUUUUUUCCCCAAAAAAAAUACAAUAUGCAAAAUAUUUUGUUUACAUUUGACAAAAGCUUAGUAGAAAUAACAGUACAAAUAUGUUUAAUCGAAACAAAUUGAACCCUUUUAUCUCAAGUGUCGGUUGCCGGAUGUAUCCGGCGUUCGUACGUACAAAGUUAUCACGUUAGAUGCCGGAUAUAUACGGCACUCGAAGUGAAAAGUAGUUAAAACGUACAUCAAUUUAUCAAUUAAUAAUUUCAUUCGUAUUUCUAGUUAAACCACCGUUGUUCUUCUAUAGUUUUCACACAUCAUCGUCACAAACAACUUUCCACGAUUUUACAUAGUUUUAUUUUUAUUUUUUUUAAUUAUUAUUAUGUUAAUAUUUAAUUAUUCUUUCGACUACCACAUAUAUGGAGCUAUACUGUCAGCUGUCUUCAACUGAUAAUAGCGUUUUACUGGACAUUUUUUUGUUUGUUUUUUUUUUUUUUUUAUUAAAUUGUACAAUAUUGUUAGCACACAUCUGUUAUUAUUAUUUUUGUUGUUGUUGUUGUUGGUUGUAUCUCCUCUUUCAUCAUCAGUGUUUUUAUAAUAAUACAUUGCACAAAAAUUUGUCAAUCGAAGUUAUUAAUUAGUGUGAAAAAUCUGUUUCUUUUUUUCUUUCUUUUUUUUUUUUCCUAAUAGAUUUUAAUCUCUUCAAAGUACACACUUUUAUUACUUUUUUUUUUUUCUUUUUAAAAUACACUGAAGGGUAUAAUUUAUAAAUUACUAAUGGAAGCACUCUGUAAAUCUACUAUGUACAUUAAAGCAUAAGGAAGUACUCAAGACUUUAGGUUUUCUUUCUUUCUUUCUUUCUUUCUUUCUUUCUUUCUUCAGGCUUUUUUUAUAAUGUAACUUUAAUUAACUGUGUACAAGUGGAUGAUAAUAAGUAAAGUCCGAUAUUUAGAACCCCUUUUUGUUUUGUUUUGUAGUAGUUUAUUUUUUUCUUCCCUCCGGACGAAAAGCGUCAACUAUUCUUCCGCUGUUCAAAACGUUCAAAAAAGUUGCCACUUUUCACCUACGUCGAGCAGAAAAAAUGUCUACUCAUCAUGGACAGAAAAUAAGAAGACAGCCUCAGAGCACAUGUUUGUUGUGACUCUGUUCUCAGAUACAGUCAUCUUCUGUUUCUCAAUUACAUAUACUCUGAGACAUUUCUUACUUUAUCCUCUCCCUAGAUGAGUAAUAUACUAUUUUUUUUUUUUUUUCUUAGACAACUGACUAGUGUUGUGUGAUUACGUGUAAGCUUUGUGUGUGUGUGGGUAUGUAGCUGUUAAUAUCGUGCAGUUAUUUAUUUUAAACAAAAUGAAACAAAUAACAAAAUGUGAUAAUCAUAGAGGAAUGGAAGAA
Molecule: unclassified non-coding RNA, 4302 nt
Organism: Polistes dominula (European paper wasp)
Lineage: Eukaryota; Metazoa; Arthropoda; Insecta; Hymenoptera; Vespidae
Source: RefSeq, a predicted model, not a curated record